Molecule: unclassified non-coding RNA, 110 nt
Filed under: plant metagenome
Description: partial contains 5.8S ribosomal RNA, internal transcribed spacer 2, and large subunit ribosomal RNA
Source: RNAcentral
GGGGAGCUCAUAGAACGCCGCGGCAAGGAGACCGUGCUGGCCGCCUUCGACGAGGUUAUCUCCUACACCGAGCGCCGUACCCGCGAGGUCGUCCGGGGGCUGCCCGACGG